UUUUAAGAUAAUUAUUUAAAAAUACAUCCUAUUGAAGAAUCAUCUAUCCACAAAUAUUCUUGUUGUCCUAAUUUCAAAAUCACAAACACAAAUCUAUAAUAUUUCUCUAAAAAUGAUAACUUUCCAAAAAUAGCAGUUUUUAAGAAAAUAAUUUAAAAAUACAACAUAUUGAUGAAAAUUUCUUAAAGAGUAUUCAUAUUUACACAAAUAGUCUAGUUAUCCUAAUUUUUAAAUCACAAACCCUAAUCUACAAUAUUUAUCUAUAAAAUUAACACUUUCCAAAAUAGCAGUUUUAAAGAAAAUUAUUUAAAAAUACAACCUAUUGAUGAAAAAAUCCGAAAUAAUCAUCUAUGCACAAAUAUUCUUGUUGUCCUAAUAUCUAAAUCACAAACCCAACUCUAUAAUAAUUCUCUAAAAAUGAAAACUUUCCAAAAAUAGCAGUUUUUAAGAAAAUUAUUUAAAAAUACAACCUAUUGAUGAAAAACUCCGAAAGAAUACUCAUUUAUCCACAAAUAUUGUUUUUGUCCUGAUUUAUAAAUCACAAACCCAAAUCUAAAUUAUUUCUCUAAAAAAUGAAUUUUUUUAAAAAUAGCAGUUUUUAAGAAAAUUAUUUAAAAUACAACAUAUUGAUGAAAAAUUCUUAAAGAUUAUUCAUCUGUCCACAAAUAAUCUAGUUGUCCUAAUUUCUAAAUCCCAAACAUAAAUCUAUAAUAUUUCACUAAAAAAUAAAAACUUUCUAAAAAUAGCAGUUUUUAAGAAAAUUAUUUUAAAAUACUACAUAUUGAUAAAAAUUCUUAAAGAAUAUUCAUCUGUCCACAAAUAGUAUAGUUGUCCUAAAAUUUAAAUCAAAAACCCAAAUCUACAAUAUUUUUCUAAAAAAUGAAAACUUUCCAAAAAUACCAGUUUUUAAGAAAAUUAUUUAAAAAUACAACACAAUGAUGAAAAAUUC
Molecule: long non-coding RNA, 949 nt
Filed under: Brassica napus (rape)
Lineage: Eukaryota; Viridiplantae; Streptophyta; Magnoliopsida; Brassicales; Brassicaceae
Description: long non-coding RNA (BNAP_LNC007812)
Source: RNAcentral